Molecule: ribosomal RNA, 662 nt
Filed under: Escherichia coli
Lineage: Bacteria; Pseudomonadati; Pseudomonadota; Gammaproteobacteria; Enterobacterales; Enterobacteriaceae
Also listed under: 1 other name
Description: bacterial SSU rRNA
Rfam family: Bacterial small subunit ribosomal RNA
Source: RNAcentral
UUAAGUCGACCGCCUGGGGAGUACGGCCGCAAGGUUAAAACUCAAAUGAAUUGACGGGGGCCCGCACAAGCGGUGGAGCAUGUGGUUUAAUUCGAUGCAACGCGAAGAACCUUACCUGGUCUUGACAUCCACGGAAGUUUUCAGAGAUGAGAAUGUGCCUUCGGGAACCGUGAGACAGGUGCUGCAUGGCUGUCGUCAGCUCGUGUUGUGAAAUGUUGGGUUAAGUCCCGCAACGAGCGCAACCCUUAUCCUUUGUUGCCAGCGGUCCGGCCGGGAACUCAAAGGAGACUGCCAGUGAUAAACUGGAGGAAGGUGGGGAUGACGUCAAGUCAUCAUGGCCCUUACGACCAGGGCUACACACGUGCUACAAUGGCGCAUACAAAGAGAAGCGACCUCGCGAGAGCAAGCGGACCUCAUAAAGUGCGUCGUAGUCCGGAUUGGAGUCUGCAACUCGACUCCAUGAAGUCGGAAUCGCUAGUAAUCGUGGAUCAGAAUGCCACGGUGAAUACGUUCCCGGGCCUUGUACACACCGCCCGUCACACCAUGGGAGUGGGUUGCAAAAGAAGUAGGUAGCUUAACCUUCGGGAGGGCGCUUACCACUUUGUGAUUCAUGACUGGGGUGAAGUCGUAACAAGGUAACCGUAGGGGAACCUGCGGUUGGA